GCCAUCAUUUAAAGAAAGCGUAAUAGCUCACUGGUCGAGUCGGCCUGCGCGGAAGAUGUAACGGGGCUAAACCAUGCACCGAAGCUGCGGCAGCGACGCUUAUGCGUUGUUGGGUAGGGGAGCGUUCUGUAAGCCUGCGAAGGUGUGCUGUGAGGCAUGCUGGAGGUAUCAGAAGUGCGAAUGCUGACAUAAGUAACGAUAAAGCGGGUGAAAAGCCCGCUCGCCGGAAGACCAAGGGUUCCUGUCCAACGUUAAUCGGGGCAGGGUGAGUCGACCCCUAAGGCGAGGCCGAAAGGCGUAGUCGAUGGGAAACAGGUUAAUAUUCCUGUACUUGGUGUUACUGCGAAGGGGGGACGGAGAAGGCUAUGUCAGCCGGGCGACGGUUGUCCCGGUUUAAGCAUGUAGGCGGAGGUUCCAGGUAAAUCCGGUACCUUUUAACGCUGAGGUGUGAUGACGAGGCACUACGGUGCUGAAGUGAUAAAUGCCCUGCUUCCAGGAAAAGCCUCUAAGCAUCAGGUAACAUCAAAUCGUACCCCAAACCGACACAGGUGGUCAGGUAGAGAAUACCAAGGCGCUUGAGAGAACUCGGGUGAAGGAACUAGGCAAAAUGGUGCC
RNAcentral lists this ribosomal RNA (615 nucleotides) under Veillonella atypica. RNAcentral describes it as "bacterial LSU rRNA". It matches the Rfam family "Bacterial large subunit ribosomal RNA", at positions 1115 to 1729 of the family's 2925-position model. Lineage: Bacteria; Bacillati; Bacillota; Negativicutes; Veillonellales; Veillonellaceae. The record is from RNAcentral.